CAAAAUUAAGCGUGUUCGCGCUACUUGUUCUCCGAUUUGUCACCCGCUGGCGGUUUGUACCAGUUUACGGUAAUUAGCUAAUCAAUGGUUUGAAUCUCAACCUAUAAUCUUUUUUUUUUUUUUUUUCGGGCGUGUCUGAUUUUAAUGAAACAGUUCAGUCGUAAGAUUUCAGUCUGGGGUGUGAUGAACCUGUAGUUUGUUACUGUCCGGCUAUCCUCGCUGAUUUUGUCCGUCGCAUUUCGCCCAUCUUCGGUGUCUGUCAAGUUUAAGCAGCAAGGCGUACGGUGAGAGGGCUGUCGGGUUUUUACGACCUUUGGCUUUUUUAAUUUCACCUUUAACCUGAGCUCAAUGCUGAACAUGGCAAAACGCGACAGUCAAAAUCAGCGAGGAUAAGCGGUCCAAGGUAAACUAUCAAACUAUAGAAAAAGUUGAGACUUUUCAAUUAAGGCCGGUUGAGACUGAUUGUGAUAGAUGAGCCUCCUCACCUCGCACGCAAACCCGGAGGGGACAUGACCCGAUGGAGGAGGAAACCCAGAAGCCAGCCACAAUGCAGCAGGAUGAGCACUAUAAUCAGCAUGAUUUUAUCAUUUUUAUUUCAGCUGUACUGUAGAGGUGUGCAUAGGCUAUGAACAUCCACAUCCCUCAAGAGCCAUGGUUUCCGUUCUCGACCAUGUGCAAAGUAGCCAUAUAGUAUUAUGGACUUUUUCUCUUCUGUGUUUGUGUUGUUACUCUUAACACCCAUCCAUUAGUGGCAAACUCAUAUGGUAUACUGACAGCUCUAAAACUGACAAGAGCAUGGGAGCUGGAGUCUUCGGGUCGAAUCCAAAGACUCAACUGAUGUUAAGC
Molecule: long non-coding RNA, 846 nt
Organism: Cimex lectularius (bed bug)
Lineage: Eukaryota; Metazoa; Arthropoda; Insecta; Hemiptera; Cimicidae
Exons: 3
Source: RefSeq, a predicted model, not a curated record